ACUGCACAAAGUCAGAAUCAUCUUUAGCAGACUGGAGAGAUUCUUCAAUGAAUAGGUUUGCCAUCUUUUAGAGGAUGCUGACAACAACAUUCUGAAUUAGGACUGAAGAAGUGUGUCUAACACUGUGGAAACCCAUCUCCCAACCCCCAGAGUGCCCGAGUUUAUGUAAAACAGGGAGAUUUGCUUCACUGUCAGGUUUUCUGCCUCUCACUUCACUCCCACAACUCUGUGUUUGAAUAUUCAGAAGCAAGGUUGGAGCUGAUUUAGACUGAUGACUCUAAAGCAGAGAUAUGCUGCAUGUAAAUAUGUGAUUCUGAGACAUGGUAGAAUAAGGUAUGAUGGAUUUGGAUAAUGUGACAGAUCAUGAAGAGGUGGAGUCUUUUUCUCUUUUCCUUGAACUGGAUUGGUCCUGUGAUUUGUUUUGGCAAUAGAGUGUGGCAGAAGUGAUGCUGUGUAACAAUCUCUCAUGGAACCCUGUGAGACGCCCAAGCCACGUGGAGAUGCCAUGUCCAGGGGAACUCGAGUCCACCAGCCACCAGCUCUGGCUGAGCACCCAGCAACAUAGUCCCUGGCAUGUUGAAGAUCCCUCCAAACUGUUGAUUUGAUGGAUGAAUGCAUAAGCGAAUGAAAGGAGGUGUCCUGCACUGGGAUAAGGGCACGGGUGAGGUUAACAGCAACUGCUCCGCCAACUGGAAGUUUGGGGACCUGGGCCUAGAGCCACUCAUCAAAGCAGAAACUGGGGAAACAGAUACAGCUGAAAGCUCCAGGAGGAGGUCCAUUUCAAUAGGAAGAAAAUACUAUUUUGUUCUGUGGCUUUAAACCAAAAGUGGCAAUGGUGAUAAUAAGCUACUACAUAGUUUACAUACAUUGUGAUUGAAGCACGGAAGAUCUCACAAAGUGAAUGUUAUUGUCUCCGUUUUAUGAUGUGAAAAAUGAGCCUCACAAGGUUUAAUGAUUUUCCCAAUGUCACAUAACUGUAGAUUGGAGAGGUACUUUGUCCCUGCCAGCCCAUCUUCCGAAUUUCUGGCCAUCCUUUUUGUGAUUGGUGAAUGUGAAGCCUGUAAACGGGUCGUUCCAGGUAUGAGCCAGGACUGCCCUCCGGGAGAGGUUCACGGGUGUUUCUCUGAGGCAUAAAAAUGACAUGCACCUGAGCCGUAGCACGGCUGCUGCGCCUGUUGAGGCACAUGGAUGAAGUGCUCUUUCUUCUCUCACAGAACAAGAAGGAACCUCAUGUCGUUGCAGAUCUAGAGGACAUCGCUCACCCUUCUCCCACUUUCUUGUGCAAUAAUCUGAGAAAAGGACAGAACCAAAUCUAACUUUGAUGUCUCCCAUGAAGAACAGACAGUUGAAGAAGGAUCCAUGGGCAAUUUGGGAUUCCAGAAAAGUUAUGAGGGAAAGAUGGAACGAGUUACUAUAUUCAACAGCCCUAGAAGAAAGAGAAAGAGAUGAAUAAACUGUUUCUCCUGACCUGAGGAAACAAUGAAGAAAUAUUUAGACUUGCUAGAAUCUUGCAUUUAUAUAUCUUUUUAAAUAAGAAUCUUUGAGAUACACUUCUGUUUUAUGUGCAGCUGUGUUGAGAUUUGAUACAGAACACAACGUUCUGUUUUUCAGAAAUGUGACUGAAAGAGAGAGAAAAAGGUCUAUUUAGAACAAAAUAAAGAACACAGCCCAAAGCCACACAAAGGCAAAUGUGUGUGAAUGUGAGCACGUUUUAACUUUUUCUUAAAAUCAGACUAGUGAUGGCCAAGAGUUGGCAGCUCUGCUUGAGGGGACAAUGCCCUUACUCUGGUAUGUGGCUCUGAGGUACCAACUGAUCUUACCUUCUCCAUUCUGCAAAGGUUGGAUCUGUCCACUAGCCUGUCUUCACCAUUAGGGAGAGGUCGUAAUGCCCAGAGGCGGUAGGCUGGGACCCCAGAAAGACCAAGAAUUCUGGAAUCCCUCAGACCGGGGUUGGAUUCCUAACUCACCAUUUCCUCACCUUGUGACCUUGGGUCAGUCCCAUAGGGUCUCUGAGCCCCAAUUUCUUUAUCUGUAGAAAAGGAACAAUGAUAUCUUCCUUGUAGGGGUUCUUUGAGGAUUAAAUGAGACAAUACAUGGGCUAUUUCUAGUAGAGUGACCGGCCAUCAGGUCCUGGCAAAUGGUGAUCUGUUGUGAGUUGUAUUUGCUCAUUUAUUUACUCAUUUGGGUGACAAAUAGGAGUUGAGCCCCUGCUAUGUGCUAGGUGCUGAGUGUACAAGUGUGUUAGAUAGACAUAGUCCCUGGUCUCGCAGAGCUGCAGAAUCAUGGAGGCAAGUGACAGACAGGUGAACAGUAAUUGAAAUACAGUGUAUUAAUAGGUUCCAAGUAAUUUGUAAGCACUGUGGUGCUGCAGCUUAAGAACAAUAUAUGUUAAUUUUUAAAUUGGGAUGGAUUGAAAGUAACACUUAUAAUUUUACUCUCAUUCACUUGAAGUCCACAAUACCUUUCCCCCAAAGUUGUGGAGGUAGAAACACUGUGCUAAGAAUAUAUAGUCCAAGGAAUACCAUAUGUGGAUGUAGCAUAUAGUUGAUGCUAAGAGAAUAGAAAUGAUGAUGAUGAUGGUGAUGAUGAUGAUGAAAAUGCCUUGAAACAAUGCUAUUGACAAGGCAAUCCUGGCAGCAUCUUACUGUGAUUCUCUAAAGUCAGCCUCAGGACAAUCCAAUGUUCUUCAUGUUUUCUGUAAACUCUAAUUACAGUGAGCACAGGUUUUAUGUCCUCUCAAGGCUGUCAUUGGAAACUCUGGAAAUAGAACCAAUAUUUUAAAAAUGUGAUCUUUAAAAAGAAAUUCCUCUCAUAUAAAUACUUUAUAAAUAUGGACUCAUGUUUGGGAGACCUUGGGAAAGGAUUCUGGGCUCUGGUACAUUUUUCUGAGAGAGGCAGGCUGGGCAACCCUGCUGGACCUUGUGCCUGCUUCUCCACCUCAGGACAUUUGGCAAGUCCCUGUCGCCCAGUUCUUGGCACAUGGAGACACCGUGAGGCUUACAAAGAAUCCCCAUCUGUCCUGACAUGAACACCACCCACUGCCCUUAAGUUCCCACCGCUCAGAUGGCAUGGGGACCUUGCUGAUGCCAGCUCCCUUUUUGAAGGAAUCCUCUGCAGUCACAAAGGCUGAGUUGCUAGAGCUUUUGCAAGGAAGUUUAAGAACAUGGAUACUCCAGGUUAAAGGAAGCAGGAGCAGAAUCCUCACAGAGGAUUCAGGUGGGAAAGUCCAGGCAAUUACAUCCUGCAGUUCUUUGCUAAAUUAUCAUUCUAAGAGCAUAUUGCUCCCCAAAAAGAUGAGGCGGGUUCCUCUGGCUCAGAUAAUACUGUAUAAAAUAAUUUUUCAUGAAUCUCUUCUAAAUUAUAGGUUCUAUCUCUAUCUAAUUAAUUUUUUUUCAAUUUACUUGUUGAAAAAUCUGGAUUGUUUGUUUAGUCAUGUUUCCCAAGUCCUGGGCUGUACUCUUUGCUUCUGUGCAGUGUAGAUGAACUGGGUUCUCUGUUUUGUGUAUUUCUUGCAAGUUGGUAGCUGGAUACAUGGACUUGGUUCAGGUUAGAUUUGUUUUUCCCUGACUGCUUCAGAACUGGUAUUGCAUUUUGCCUUCAGGAGGCACAUAAAGUUGUUCUCAUUUCUCUUUUUAUGGUGUCAGCAAUAAUUGAUACUCAAUUAAUGAACCAUUAAUUCAUUAAGGGUUGCAAAAGAUUGGUAUUCUAAUUUCUAUGGUUCCUUCUUCACUUAUUAGCUGGAAGACUUUUAUAAAAUGAAACUUCCCUUUAUUACUAUAGAGAUAGUUCAGUUCGUAUAGGAAAGCCAGGAUAAAGGCUUGAGUUGAGUUUUUACCUUUAUGCACCAAUGGUGACCAAGUAGUUUUUUUUUUUUCUUAAUUUGGAAGUAUCAUGAUGUAUCCAUGGAUUUUUAUAUAUUUGAUAUUAAACUUCUUACAGUUUUUAUAAUUAUUAAUGCUCAAACUGUCUUAUCCAUGGUGAAGAGAAAUAGGAACCUCUUGAGUCUUGCUGAC
Long non-coding RNA from Choloepus didactylus (southern two-toed sloth), 4013 nucleotides. RefSeq lists it as uncharacterized. NCBI's taxonomy places the organism in Eukaryota, Metazoa, Chordata, Mammalia, Pilosa, Megalonychidae. The transcript is spliced from 7 exons. The record is from RefSeq and is a predicted model, not a curated record.